UCGGAGCUCAUGUGUUCCAGACAAGAGCAUCUGAGGUGAUACAGAUCACCUCUUUGGAACAGUCCACCCAGAUCUGGCUGCUCAAGCCAGUCAAAACUCUCCAGAGCUCCUUCCUGCAAGGUGCACAGACUACCAGAAAUAGAGAGGCAUGUGCAUGUGCAUGUGGAAGUGUGUUGUGUGUAUAAUAGACCAAGGAGGCCAGAGGCAUUUGAAGAAGAUGGAUGGGUUUAUGGAGGCAAACACCAGACUCCCAUUAAUCCAGACUCCCCAUUCAAGCCGUGGUGUGAAGGUCUUUACCCCAUAACAAGGACUGCCUUCCAAAUCCUGACUUUCCUCGGAGUUGGGCACCAUCCCAGGAAAGUCUGAAGCCAUUAAAGAAGCUGGCAGCAAGAAGACAUUAUCUGAUGGGCUGCUCAAGGGGAUGCGAGCGGUCCUCCUGAAAGCGUGUGUGCAUCAUGUCCCCAUCCAGCAGGUUUGGAGUAGAGGGACACUUCACCAGUCUCCACACAGUUUGA
This is a long non-coding RNA of Arvicola amphibius (Eurasian water vole), 515 nucleotides long. RefSeq lists it as uncharacterized. NCBI's taxonomy places the organism in Eukaryota, Metazoa, Chordata, Mammalia, Rodentia, Cricetidae. The transcript is spliced from 3 exons. The record is from RefSeq and is a predicted model, not a curated record.